This 997-nucleotide ribosomal RNA is filed under the name uncultured bacterium. RNAcentral's name for it is "bacterial SSU rRNA". It matches the Rfam family "Bacterial small subunit ribosomal RNA", at positions 357 to 1376 of the family's 1533-position model. The record is from RNAcentral.
AGGAAUAUUGGGCAAUGGAGGCAACUCUGGCCCAGCCAUGCCGCGUGAGUGAGAAGAUUUUCGAAUUGUAAAGCUCUUUCGGGUGUGAAGAUGAUGACGGUAACACCAGAAGAGGCCCCGGCAAACUUCGUGCCAGCAGCCGCGGUAAUACGAAGGGGGCGAGCGUUGUUCGGAAUUACUGGGCGUAAAGGGUGUGUAGGCGGUUAAGUAAGAUAGUGGUGAAAUGCCGGGGCUCAACCUCGGAAUUGCCAUUAUGACUAUUUAGCUAGAAUGAUGCAGAGGAUAGCGGAAUACCCAGUGUAGAGGUGAAAUUCGUAGAUAUUGGGUAGAACACCAGAGGCGAAGGCGGCUAUCUGGGCAUUGAUUGACGCUGAGGCACGAAAGCAUGGGGAUCAAACAGGAUUAGAUACCCUGGUAGUCCAUGCUGUAAACGAUGAAUGCUAGUUGUUGGAGGAAUUCAGUGACGCAGUUAACACAAUAAGCAUUCCGCCUGGGGAGUACGGUCGCAAGAUUAAAACUCAAAGGAAUUGACGGGGACCCGCACAAGCGGUGGAGCAUGUGGUUUAAUUCGAUGCAACGCGAAGAACCUUACCAACUCUUGACAUCCUCAUUAGGGAGGGGAGAGAUUCCCUCUUUCAGUUAGGCUGGGUGAGUGACAGAUGCUGCAUGGCUGUCGUCAGCUCGUGUCGUGAGAUGUUGGGUUAAGUCCCGCAACGAGCGCAACCCCUGCUAUCAGUUGCCAUCAGGUAGAGCUGGGCACUCUGAUAGGACUGCCGGUGACAAGCCGGAGGAAGGUGGGGAUGACGUCAAGUCAUCAUGGCUCUUACGAGUUGGGCUACACACGUGCUACAAUGGCAGCUACAGAGAGGAGCGAAGCUGUGAAGCGGAGCCAAUCUUAAAAAGCUGUCUCAGUUCGGAUUGUUCUCUGCAACUCGAGAACAUGAAGUUGGAAUCGCUAGUAAUCGCGGAUCAGCAUGCCGCGGUGAAUACGUUCCCG